GUUCGGAAUGAGUACGAUUCGAACCACCUAACGAGGAACGAUCGGAGGGCAAGUCUGGUGCCAGCAGCCGCGGUAAUUCCAGCUCCAAUAGCGUACGUUAAAGUUGCUGCAGUUAAAAAGCUCGUAGUUGAACGUUCGGGUUCCGCGGGACGGGGCCGCCCCGCGAGGGACGGCGCCGCCCCGGGGCUCGUGAUAUCUCAUCUCGCCGCCCGUCGCGAGGCGGACGGAGGGAUGGAUGAGGUUACCUGAAAAAAAAUCGGGGGCGAUCUAGGCGGGCGAACCUCGCCAACGAACGAUCGGACAUGGGAUAACGGAAGAGGGCGUCGGCUCGACUUCGUCGGUUCCUCGGGCCGAGGCACGUACGGUGAAUAGGGACGGUCGGGGCCGCCCGUACCGGGUCGUGAGAGGUGAAAUUCUAGGAUCGACCCGAGACGAACCGCCGCGAAAGCAUUCGGCAAGGACGUCUUUCUAUUAAUCAAGAACGAAAGUCGGGGGGAUCGAAGACGAUCAGAUACCGUCGUAGUCCCGAC
This 530-nucleotide ribosomal RNA is filed under the name uncultured eukaryote. RNAcentral's name for it is "bacterial SSU rRNA". It matches the Rfam family "Eukaryotic small subunit ribosomal RNA", at positions 507 to 1030 of the family's 1831-position model. The record is from RNAcentral.